Molecule: long non-coding RNA, 1417 nt
Organism: Helianthus annuus (common sunflower)
Lineage: Eukaryota; Viridiplantae; Streptophyta; Magnoliopsida; Asterales; Asteraceae
Exons: 2
Source: RefSeq, a predicted model, not a curated record
GAAAAAAAACUAAAAAAUAGCUAAUUUCUAUAUUUAGAUUGAGAAUCUGCUGUAGUUACAAAAACUAAUACAAAAUUUGAGUGAUUACUGUAAAAGAAAAUACACGUAUAAAGAAAAAUGUAAUUUUAAUAAAAAAAUCGAAUUAAAUAUUAACAAGUGAAUAAGACAAGUUGCAAAAAAGGGUGUCACGUGGUUGAUGAAACAAAAAAAUAAGCAUGAUGUUGCACAUGAUCCACCAACGGUAACUUCCAAACAUCACAACUUUGCUAAUCUUGCGCAUGCCACUAAGGUGUUGUUUGUUUUUUUGUUAAAAGAGCUUCAGAACCUCUUUUGUCUUCACCAAGCAGACCACGCGCAGACAUAGGGCUUUGAAGCUUGUUUGUUUUUCUGCAGACAAUUCAUUAAAAAAGCACUUCAUAAACUCUUCUUGGGGCAGAUGUUAAUUUACCUCUUCACAAAUCUCUUCUCCUCUUCCAAAGAAACAACUCAAGAAACCCUAUCCUUCUCCUUCUCCAUUCACGCCUCCUCCCCUGCUCCUCCACCUCACGGCGCCGACCUCCCUCCUCCUCCACCUCACGGCGCCGACAUCCCCUCUUCCUCCACCUCACGCCGAGCACCACCUAGCCGAGCCCCACAGAGCCGACCUCCCUCUUCCGCCCCUGCUCCUCCACCUCACGCCGCCGUCUUCCCUGCUCCUCCACCUCACGCCGCUGUCCUCCACCAUAAAGAAAUGGGAGAGAAACAACAAUGGUCAAACGACCAUCUAAAAUGGACACCCAUUAUCAUGACACACAAGAUGAUGCUGGCACUUCUGAGCCUACUUCCGAGCCUACUCAAGAGCCUACUCAAGAGCCCACUUCUGAGCCUACUUCCGAGCCCACUUCUGAGCCUAAUCCAAACAAAAGGGCCAAAACCUCAAAAUCAUCUAUUAACCAUGAUGAUUUAGCACGUGAUAUGCAGAAGGCUCUACAGGUUUUGAUUAAAGGCAAAGAAGGGCCAACAGUUCGUGAGUGUUCUGAGAAGUUAAAGUUGGUUGGGUUAGACCCGGUAGAUCCUAUAUUCUUAGCUGCUUUUCACAUUUUUGGGGUGUCCUCUGACAUGAGAGAGGCGUGGAUGGCAUUGCCAGAAAUUCCCGAGGUCUUAAGAGGGUGGAUCGGAAUGACUGCAAAAAGUUUAGGCCUGAUAAAGUAGUGAAGACCUUAUAUGCUUAACACGACUGCUAGGUUUAUGUUUGAGACAUUUUAUGCUUUUGAUUUAUGUUUGACAUUGUAUGCUUUUCGUUUAUGUUUUAGACAUUGUAUGUUUUUAUGUUUGACAUUGUAUGCUUUUGGUUGAUGAUUGUAUCCUUUGGUUUAUGCUUAUGCUUAUUGUUAAAACAGGUUCAUAAUGGAUUAUAAUAAGAAAUUACUUCUCGUUA